Molecule: ribosomal RNA, 464 nt
Filed under: Vreelandella stevensii
Lineage: Bacteria; Pseudomonadati; Pseudomonadota; Gammaproteobacteria; Oceanospirillales; Halomonadaceae
Description: partial 16S ribosomal RNA
Rfam family: Bacterial small subunit ribosomal RNA
Source: RNAcentral
CCUACGGGGCGCAGCAGUGGGGAAUAUUGGACAAUGGGCGAAAGCCUGAUCCAGCCAUGCCGCGUGUGUGAAGAAGGCCUUCGGGUUGUAAAGCACUUUCAGUGGGGAAGAAAGCCUUGGGGCUAAUACCCUCGAGGAAGGACAUCACCCACAGAAGAAGCACCGGCUAACUCCGUGCCAGCAGCCGCGGUAAUACGGAGGGUGCGAGCGUUAAUCGGAAUUACUGGGCGUAAAGCGCGCGUAGGCGGUCUGAUAAGCCGGUUGUGAAAGCCCCGGGCUCAACCUGGGAACGGCAUCCGGAACUGUCAGGCUAGAGUGCAGGAGAGGAAGGUAGAAUUCCCGGUGUAGCGGUGAAAUGCGUAGAGAUCGGGAGGAAUACCAGUGGCGAAGGCGGCCUUCUGGACUGACACUGACGCUGAGGUGCGAAAGCGUGGGUAGCAAACAGGAUUAGAUACCUGGUAGUC